Long non-coding RNA from Macadamia integrifolia, 590 nucleotides. RefSeq lists it as uncharacterized. The transcript has 2 exons. NCBI's taxonomy places the organism in Eukaryota, Viridiplantae, Streptophyta, Magnoliopsida, Proteales, Proteaceae. The record is from RefSeq and is a predicted model, not a curated record.
ACCCCAUGAGACACCUUCACUUGUUCCUCAGAAAAUCAGAUCAAAGCUCUAUCUCCUUCACUGAGUUUGAGCUGUCAGUGAGAAGGUAGAAGAUGAGAAGAUGGCUAGCUUCAGUUCUCUUUUGGUGCACAGAUACUCCAGUACUAUUGAAGUGUACGUCAUCAUCUGGCGUUGAGCCCUCCAUAUAUAUAACUCUACAGAAGUCUAAAGAAAGCAAGGUGAUCUUUUAGUAUUGCAAAGCCAGCAUAUGAUCAACAAAAGUCAUUUGAUUCAGUGAAGCGAACGCAGUCUAGUUUGUGUUCAGUGAACUCUAUCUCGAUAAAAUGUUGAGAGAUUGAUUGAUUUAUGGAUUUUCUUUCUGAAGUGUUUCUUCAAAAAUGUGUUCAUGCUUGUAUUUGGUGCUUUCAGAAUUGGAGUUAGGAGUUGGAAGAAAUUUUUAACAUCAAACAGCUUCAUUUGUAUAUUAUUUUUCUAUUUUCCUCCCCACCCCUUAAUUUAAAGAUUAUUCUUUAUUUUAUUUUCACCUAAUCCAUGUAUGCCUCAGCUGAGCUACUAUAUAUAGUGCAAUACUUGACCAUUUCUCUUUCUAA